This 111-nucleotide ribosomal RNA is filed under the name Oceanisphaera pacifica. RNAcentral describes it as "Oceanisphaera sp. DM8 partial 23S ribosomal RNA". It matches the Rfam family "Bacterial large subunit ribosomal RNA", at positions 1 to 110 of the family's 2925-position model. The record is from RNAcentral. Lineage: Bacteria; Pseudomonadati; Pseudomonadota; Gammaproteobacteria; Aeromonadales; Aeromonadaceae.
GGUUAAGUGACUAAGCGUACACGGCGGAUGCCUUGGCAGUCAGAGGCGAUGAAGGACGUGCUAACCUGCGUUAAGUACGGAUGAGCUGGUAAGAAGCGCUUGAGUCCGUAA